Molecule: long non-coding RNA, 282 nt
Filed under: Elaeis guineensis (African oil palm)
Lineage: Eukaryota; Viridiplantae; Streptophyta; Magnoliopsida; Arecales; Arecaceae
Description: long non-coding RNA (EGUI_LNC082633)
Source: RNAcentral
CAUGGAUGGUGAACUUAGCCAGGAUUUGAUCCUACACUCUCUCCCUGACUUUCUCUCAGUUUGUCAUAAACUACCAUAUGAACAAAUUGAAUAUCAGCCAGCCUGAGCAUGUUGAAAAUAACAGAGAACCAUUUCAAAGAUGAAAAGGCUCCAGUUCUUCUUGUUGAUAAGAUCAACAAAAAGAAAGGCAAGAAGGAUUCCAAAAAAAAGUUGAAUCCUAAGGCUGGCAUCUUCAAGAAGAAGAUGAAAAAGAUCUCCGCCAAAGGUACUUGCUAUCACUGU